GACAGAGGGUGCAAACGUUGUUCGGAAUUACUGGGCGUAAAGCGCGUGUAGGCUGCUCAGAAAGUCGGAUGUGAAAGCCCUGGGCUUAACCUAGGAAGUGCAUUCGAAACUUCUGAGCUUGAGUUCUGGAGAGGAAGGCGGAAUUCUCGGUGUAGAGGUGAAAUUCGUAGAUAUCGAGAGGAACACCGGUGGCGAAGGCGGCAUCCUGGACCAACACUGACGCUGAUGAGCGAAAGCCAGGGGAGCAAACGGG
RNAcentral lists this ribosomal RNA (253 nucleotides) under uncultured bacterium. RNAcentral's name for it is "partial 16S ribosomal RNA". It matches the Rfam family "Bacterial small subunit ribosomal RNA", at positions 524 to 776 of the family's 1533-position model. The record is from RNAcentral.